This 425-nucleotide ribosomal RNA is filed under the name uncultured bacterium. Its description in RNAcentral is "bacterial SSU rRNA". It matches the Rfam family "Bacterial small subunit ribosomal RNA", at positions 354 to 796 of the family's 1533-position model. The record is from RNAcentral.
GUUAGGAAUUUUCCGCAAUGGGCGAAAGCCUGACGGAGCAACGCCGCGUGGGUGAUGAAGACCUUCGGGUUGUAAAGCCCUGUCGGAGGGGAAGACCAUGACGGUACCCUCCAAGAAAGCCCCGGCUAACUACGUGCCAGCAGCCGCGGUAACACGUAGGGGGCGAGCGUUAUCCGGAUUUACUGGGCGUAAAGCGCGUUAAGGCGGUCGGCAAAGUUGGGGGUGAAAUCUCAGGGCUCAACCCUGGAACUGCCUCCAAUACUGGUCGACUAGAGUGCGAGAGAGGAAGGUGGAAUUCCCGGUGUAGUAGUGAAAUGCGUAGAUAUCGGGAGGAACACCAGUGGCGAAGGCGGCCUUCUGGCUCGCAACUGACGCUGUAGCGCGAAAGCGUGGGGAGCGAACGGGAUUAGAUACCCUUGUAGUCC